UUAAGUUAUUAAGGGCGCACGGUGGAUGCCUUGGCACUAGAAGCCGAUGAAGGACGUUACUAACGACGAUAUGCUUUGGGGAGCUGUAAGUAAGCUUUGAUCCAGAGAUUUCCGAAUGGGGAAACCCAGCAUGAGUUAUGUCAUGUUAUCGAUAUGUGAAUACAUAGCAUAUCAGAAGGCACACCCGGAGAACUGAAACAUCUUAGUACCCGGAGGAAGAGAAAGAAAAUUCGAUUCCCUUAGUAGCGGCGAGCGAAACGGGAAGAGCCCAAACCAACAAGCUUGCUUGUUGGGGUUGUAGGACACUCUAUACGGAGUUACAAAGGACGACAUUAGACGAAUCAUCUGGAAAGAUGAAUCAAAGAAGGUAAUAAUCCUGUAGUCGAAAAUGUUGUCUCUCUUGAGUGGAUCCUGAGUACGACGGAGCACGUGAAAUUCCGUCGGAAUCUGGGAGGACCAUCUCCUAAGGCUAAAUACUCUCUAGUGACCGAUAGUGAACCAGUACCGUGAGGGAAAGGUGAAAAGCACCCCGGAAGGGGAGUGAAAUAGAACCUGAAACCGUGUGCUUACAAGUAGUCAGAGCCCGUUAAUGGGUGAUGGCGUGCCUUUUGUAGAAUGAACCGGCGAGUUACGAUUUGAUGCAAGGUUAAGCAGUAAAUGUGGAGCCGUAGCGAAAGCGAGUCUGAAUAGGGCGUUUAGUAUUUGGUCGUAGACCCGAAACCAGGUGAUCUACCCUUGGUCAGGUUGAAGUUCAGGUAACACUGAAUGGAGGACCGAACCGACUUACGUUGAAAAGUGAGCGGAUGAACUGAGGGUAGCGGAGAAAUUCCAAUCGAACCUGGAGAUAGCUGGUUCUCUCCGAAAUAGCUUUAGGGCUAGCCUCAAGUGAUGAUUAUUGGAGGUAGAGCACUGUUUGGACGAGGGGCCCCUCUCGGGUUACCGAAUUCAGACAAACUCCGAAUGCCAAUUAAUUUAACUUGGGAGUCAGAACAUGGGUGAUAAGGUCCGUGUUCGAAAGGGAAACAGCCCAGACCACCAGCUAAGGUCCCAAAAUAUAUGUUAAGUGGAAAAGGAUGUGGCGUUGCCCAGACAACUAGGAUGUUGGCUUAGAAGCAGCCAUCAUUUAAAGAGUGCGUAAUAGCUCACUAGUCGAGUGACACUGCGCCGAAAAUGUACCGGGGCUAAACAUAUUACCGAAGCUGUGGAUUGUCCUUUGGACAAUGGUAGGAGAGCGUUCUAAGGGCGUUGAAGCAUGAUCGUAAGGACAUGUGGAGCGCUUAGAAGUGAGAAUGCCGGUGUGAGUAGCGAAAGACGGGUGAGAAUCCCGUCCACCGAUUGACUAAGGUUUCCAGAGGAAGGCUCGUCCGCUCUGGGUUAGUCGGGUCCUAAGCUGAGGCCGACAGGCGUAGGCGAUGGAUAACAGGUUGAUAUUCCUGUACCACCUAUAAUCGUUUUAAUCGAUGGGGGGACGCAGUAGGAUAGGCGAAGCGUGCGAUUGGAUUGCACGUCUAAGCAGUAAGGCUGAGUAUUAGGCAAAUCCGGUACUCGUUAAGGCUGAGCUGUGAUGGGGAGAAGACAUUGUGUCUUCGAGUCGUUGAUUUCACACUGCCGAGAAAAGCCUCUAGAUAGAAAAUAGGUGCCCGUACCGCAAACCGACACAGGUAGUCAAGAUGAGAAUUCUAAGGUGAGCGAGCGAACUCUCGUUAAGGAACUCGGCAAAAUGACCCCGUAACUUCGGGAGAAGGGGUGCUCUUUAGGGUUAACGCCCAGAAGAGCCGCAGUGAAUAGGCCCAAGCGACUGUUUAUCAAAAACACAGGUCUCUGCUAAACCGUAAGGUGAUGUAUAGGGGCUGACGCCUGCCCGGUGCUGGAAGGUUAAGAGGAGUGGUUAGCUUCUGCGAAGCUACGAAUCGAAGCCCCAGUAAACGGCGGCCGUAACUAUAACGGUCCUAAGGUAGCGAAAUUCCUUGUCGGGUAAGUUCCGACCCGCACGAAAGGCGUAACGAUUUGGGCACUGUCUCAACGAGAGACUCGGUGAAAUCAUAGUACCUGUGAAGAUGCAGGUUACCCGCGACAGGACGGAAAGACCCCGUGGAGCUUUACUGUAGCCUGAUAUUGAAAUUCGGCACAGCUUGUACAGGAUAGGUAGGAGCCUUUGAAACGUGAGCGCUAGCUUACGUGGAGGCGCUGGUGGGAUACUACCCUAG
This 2207-nucleotide ribosomal RNA is filed under the name Staphylococcus aureus. RNAcentral describes it as "bacterial LSU rRNA". It matches the Rfam family "Bacterial large subunit ribosomal RNA", at positions 3 to 2208 of the family's 2925-position model. Lineage: Bacteria; Bacillati; Bacillota; Bacilli; Caryophanales; Staphylococcaceae. The record is from RNAcentral.